Molecule: ribosomal RNA, 1509 nt
Filed under: Staphylococcus aureus SJUD6053
Lineage: Bacteria; Bacillati; Bacillota; Bacilli; Caryophanales; Staphylococcaceae
Description: partial 16S ribosomal RNA
Rfam family: Bacterial small subunit ribosomal RNA
Source: RNAcentral
AGAGUUUGAUCCUGGCUCAGGAUGAACGCUGGCGGCGUGCCUAAUACAUGCAAGUCGAGCGAACGGACGAGAAGCUUGCUUCUCUGAUGUUAGCGGCGGACGGGUGAGUAACACGUGGAUAACCUACCUAUAAGACUGGGAUAACUUCGGGAAACCGGAGCUAAUACCGGAUAAUAUUUUGAACCGCAUGGUUCAAAAGUGAAAGACGGUCUUGCUGUCACUUAUAGAUGGAUCCGCGCUGCAUUAGCUAGUUGGUAAGGUAACGGCUUACCAAGGCAACGAUGCAUAGCCGACCUGAGAGGGUGAUCGGCCACACUGGAACUGAGACACGGUCCAGACUCCUACGGGAGGCAGCAGUAGGGAAUCUUCCGCAAUGGGCGAAAGCCUGACGGAGCAACGCCGCGUGAGUGAUGAAGGUCUUCGGAUCGUAAAACUCUGUUAUUAGGGAAGAACAUAUGUGUAAGUAACUGUGCACAUCUUGACGGUACCUAAUCAGAAAGCCACGGCUAACUACGUGCCAGCAGCCGCGGUAAUACGUAGGUGGCAAGCGUUAUCCGGAAUUAUUGGGCGUAAAGCGCGCGUAGGCGGUUUUUUAAGUCUGAUGUGAAAGCCCACGGCUCAACCGUGGAGGGUCAUUGGAAACUGGAAAACUUGAGUGCAGAAGAGGAAAGUGGAAUUCCAUGUGUAGCGGUGAAAUGCGCAGAGAUAUGGAGGAACACCAGUGGCGAAGGCGACUUUCUGGUCUGUAACUGACGCUGAUGUGCGAAAGCGUGGGGAUCAAACAGGAUUAGAUACCCUGGUAGUCCACGCCGUAAACGAUGAGUGCUAAGUGUUAGGGGGUUUCCGCCCCUUAGUGCUGCAGCUAACGCAUUAAGCACUCCGCCUGGGGAGUACGACCGCAAGGUUGAAACUCAAAGGAAUUGACGGGGACCCGCACAAGCGGUGGAGCAUGUGGUUUAAUUCGAAGCAACGCGAAGAACCUUACCAAAUCUUGACAUCCUUUGACAACUCUAGAGAUAGAGCCUUCCCCUUCGGGGGACAAAGUGACAGGUGGUGCAUGGUUGUCGUCAGCUCGUGUCGUGAGAUGUUGGGUUAAGUCCCGCAACGAGCGCAACCCUUAAGCUUAGUUGCCAUCAUUAAGUUGGGCACUCUAAGUUGACUGCCGGUGACAAACCGGAGGAAGGUGGGGAUGACGUCAAAUCAUCAUGCCCCUUAUGAUUUGGGCUACACACGUGCUACAAUGGACAAUACAAAGGGCAGCGAAACCGCGAGGUCAAGCAAAUCCCAUAAAGUUGUUCUCAGUUCGGAUUGUAGUCUGCAACUCGACUACAUGAAGCUGGAAUCGCUAGUAAUCGUAGAUCAGCAUGCUACGGUGAAUACGUUCCCGGGUCUUGUACACACCGCCCGUCACACCACGAGAGUUUGUAACACCCGAAGCCGGUGGAGUAACCUUUUAGGAGCUAGCCGUCGAAGGUGGGACAAAUGAUUGGGGUGAAGUCGUAACAAGGU